UACGUAGGGGGCGAGCGUUGUCCGGAUUCAUUGGGCGUAAAGCGCGCGUAGGCGGCCCGGCAGGUCGGGGGUGAAAACACGGGGCCCAACCCCGUGCCUGCCCCCGAAACCGCCGGGCUCGAGUCCCGCAGGGGAUGGCGGAACUCCCGGUGUAGCGGUGGAAUGCGCAGAUAUCGGGAGGAACACCGGUGGCGAAGGCGGCCAUCUGGGCGGGCACUGACGCUGAGGCGCGAGAGCCGGGGGAGCGAACAGG
RNAcentral lists this ribosomal RNA (253 nucleotides) under uncultured bacterium. Its description in RNAcentral is "partial 16S ribosomal RNA". It matches the Rfam family "Bacterial small subunit ribosomal RNA", at positions 524 to 776 of the family's 1533-position model. The record is from RNAcentral.